GGAUGAAGAACGCAGUGAAAUGCGAUAAGUAAUGUGAAUUGCAGAAUCCAGUGAAUCAUCGAAUCUUUGAACGCACAUUGCGCCCGCCAGCAUUCUGGCGGGCAUGCCUGUUCGAGCGUCAUUUCAACCCUCGACCUCCCUUUGGGGAAGUCGGCGUUGGGGACCGGCAGCACACCGCCGGCCCUGAAAUGGAGUGGCGGCCCGUCCGCGGCGACCUCUGCGUAGUAAACCAACUCGCACCGGAACCCCGACGUGGCCACGCCGUAAAACACCCAACUUCUGAACGUUGACCUCGAAUCAGGUAGGACUACCCGCUGAACUUAAGCAUAUCAAUAAGCGGAGGA
Molecule: unclassified non-coding RNA, 344 nt
Filed under: soil metagenome
Description: partial contains 5.8S ribosomal RNA, internal transcribed spacer 2, and large subunit ribosomal RNA
Rfam family: 5.8S ribosomal RNA (bases 2-121)
Source: RNAcentral